GAUGAACGCUAGCGAUAGGCUUAACACAUGCAAGUCGAGGGGCAGCACAAGGUAGCUUGCUAUCUGGGUGGCGACCGGCGCACGGGUGCGUAACGCGUAUGCAACUUGCCCUAUACAGGAGGAUAACCCGUCGAAAGACGGACUAAUACUGCGUAUGCUCACAACUUGGCAUCAAGUGGUGAGGAAAGAAAUUCGGUAUAGGAUAGGCAUGCGUCCCAUUAGCUUGUUGGUGAGGUAACGGCUCACCAAGGCAACGAUGGGUAGGGGAACUGAGAGGUUUAUCCCCCACACUGGGACUGAGACACGGACCAGACUCCUACGGGAGGCAGCAGUGAGGAAUAUUGGUCAAUGGGCGCGAGCCUGAACCAGCCAAGUCGCGUGAAGGAUGACUGUCUUAUGGAUUGUAAACUUCUUUUAUACGGGAAUAACAAGAGUCACGUGUGACUCCCUGCAUGUACCGUAUGAAUAAGCAUCGGCUAACUCCGUG
Molecule: ribosomal RNA, 487 nt
Filed under: uncultured bacterium
Lineage: Bacteria
Description: partial 16S ribosomal RNA
Rfam family: Bacterial small subunit ribosomal RNA
Source: RNAcentral